RNAcentral lists this non-coding RNA (2257 nucleotides) under Pan troglodytes (chimpanzee). Lineage: Eukaryota; Metazoa; Chordata; Mammalia; Primates; Hominidae. The record is from RNAcentral.
AAUGACAGAAGCAGCAGCGAGAGCCCUUCAGAGGACCGCGAGACGCGAACUCCCACCCCAGCAAACCACCAAGGGGAAGAGGCGGGCCCCCAUCCAGGAGGCCUUAGGAAGAGGAAAGCUGACUUUUCUAAAGCAAAUAAGGCAGUGUUCUCCCCAGGGCGCCAGGCUUCCCCAGCUCCAAGUCUGGGCGUCUGAAAUCUGCUGUGUAAUUGGAUCAUGCUCCGGCCCGUGCUGAGCGCCCAUCUGCGCCCGUCUCGGAAAACACAAGUCUCAGAGAAGGAAAGCAGUUGCCACAGUGUUCAGCUUAACCAAGUCAUCUUAUUUGAUAUGUGAAAGUUCUUUGAGAUGGAAGAAUCUCAGCUCAUCACUGCGAAGGAAUGCCAGGAUUAGGAAGUCAUCAGAUGCAAGCCUGCAAGCCUCAGUGUACUCCUCAAUGUCUGCAGGGCCCACCCCAGAGAGAGGCCCCUGGGUGACCAGCCGGUGAGGAGCUUCAAGAGGAAGGAUUCACCAUCACCACCUGGAUCCCGCGUGCAGCUUUUGUCACAGCGGUGGCGAGCACAGUCUCUGCCUCCUGGGGAGAUGGGGUGUGAAGCUCACAGCACCUGCGUGUGGCUGGGCCCAACAUUAACAGCGCUGCAAGAGCUCACCUCCAUUUAUAGGAAGUGGGAAGGACCCAAGGACUGGCCGAUGACACCACAGGAGGCAGAAGGCACAUCGGGGGUUGGGGGCAGCCUAUGGCCAACCUACCCUGUCCCUCUAACAACCUACCCUGUCCCUAUAACACAUUGCUGGCAGGAAACAUGGGAGAUGGCUCAGACUGGAGACCUGGGGACAUAUCUACCAAGUGCCAUGUGGGUCCUGGGUCAAAGUCACCACCGUGAAAAGACAUUUCUGAGAUAAUUUGGGACAUGUGCUAAUGGAGGGGUUUCAGAUUCCACCCAGAGACCACUGCUGGGUGCGUGGAUGGGACAGUGACACUGGGGCCCGCAAGAAAGAUCCCAUGCUGUGAGAGACAGACUGAAGGGGAAGAGGGAGUGACGCGAUGCCUGGGAUUUGCUGAAGAAAAAAAAAAGAAUAAAAAGGUCCGUCUGUAUAUGGAUGGCAAGAAUUUCUUGGUAACAAAAGCACAGCCAAUAAAAGAAAAAAUAAAUACUAAAGUCGAUGAAAAUUUAAAACUUUUGUGCAUCAAAGGGCACCAUCAACAGAGCAAAAAGGCAGCUAAAGAAUGGGAGGAAAUAUCUGCAAAUCAUGUAUCUGGUAAGGGGUUAAUAUCCAGAAUGUGCAGAAAACUCUUACAACUCAACAACAGAAACAAAAAUCUAAUUUAAAAACGGGCAAACUGGCCGGGUGAGGUGGCUCAUGCCUGUAAUCCCAGCACUUUGGGAGGCCGAGGUGGGCGGAUCACUUGAGGUCAGGAGUUCAAGACCAGACUGGCCAACAUGGCAAAACCCCAUCUCCACUAAAAUUUCAAAAAUUAGCCAGGUGUGAUGGCACGUCCCUGUAAUCCCAGCUACUCGGGAGGCUGAGGCAGAAGAAUUGCUGGAACCCAGGAGGCAAAGGUCGCAGUGAGGUGAGAUCACGCCAUUGCACUCUAGCCUGGGUGACAGAGUGAGACUCCGUCUCAUAAAUAAAUAAAUAAAUAAAAAUGGGUAAAGGACUUGAAUAGACAUUUCUCCAAAGAAGAGAUACAAAUGGCCGAUAAGGACUUUUCUGAAAAGAUGUUCAACACCACUAAUCAAUUAGAGAAAGGCAAAUCCAAACUACAACGGGACACCAUCUCACACCUGUUAGGAUGGCCAUGAUCCUAAAACAGAAAGUAAUGAUGCUGGUGAGUAUGUGGGGAAACUGGAGCCCUUGGGCACCGCUGGCAGGAAGGUAAAGUGGUGCAGCCCCUGUGGAACAUGGCACGGCUGCUCCUCAAAACCUUAAACACAGAACAAGCACGUGAGCCAGCAAUACCACUUCUGCAUCUAUGCCCGAAGGCAUUGACAGAGGGGUCUUGAAGAGAUAUCUGCACACCCACGUCCACGGUGGCAGCACUAUUCACGGUAGCUAAGAGGUGGACGCAACCUAAGUGUCCACCUACAGAUGAACAGACACACAAAAGGUGGUGUUUCCGUAGAGUGGGAUAGUUAUCAUUCAGGCUUAAACCAGAAGGAGAUUCUGAUGCAUGCUACAACACGGAGGAACCGUCGAAGGUAUUACACUGAGUGAAAUGUACCAAGCACAAAAAGAUAAAUACUGCAGGAUUCCACUG